UACGAAGGGGGCUAGCGUUGCUCGGAAUUACUGGGCGUAAAGCGCACGUAGGCGGCUCUUUAAGUCGGAGGUGAAAUCCUGGAGCUCAACUCCAGAACUGCCUUCGAUACUGAAGAGCUCGAGUCCGGGAGAGGUGAGUGGAACUGCGAGUGUAGAGGUGAAAUCGUAGAUAUUCGCAAGAACACCAGUGGCGAAGGCGGCUCACUGGCCCGGUACUGACGCUGAGGUGCGAAAGCGUGGGAGCAACAGGAUUAGAUACCGUGAGUC
Molecule: ribosomal RNA, 267 nt
Filed under: uncultured bacterium
Lineage: Bacteria
Description: partial 16S ribosomal RNA
Rfam family: Bacterial small subunit ribosomal RNA
Source: RNAcentral